UCUGGUGAAAUAGUGGAGGGCAGUUCAGUGACUCUGACCUGCAGCAGUGAUGGAAACCCACCUGAGAAGAACUACACUUGGUUUAAAGAAGGUGGAACCUCACCUGUAGGAUCUGGACAGAAUUAUAGCUUCAGCCUAAACCCCAGAAGUGAUGGGUUGUACUACUGCGAGGCUCAGAAUGAAUAUGGAUCUCUAAGAUCAGCUUCAGUGCCUGUUGUUUUAAAUGGUCAAUCCCUGAGUCUGUAUGUAACUACUGUUGUUGGAUUUUGUGGAGUUGUGGCUCUUCUUGUUAUAGGUUUCUGUUCAAGGUGUAAGAGGCAGAGGCAGAACAGAAAGACAGACGAUCAUGACUUUCAGAAUGCUGACCCUACUGCUGAAGAGGACACAUACACAGCUCUUGACCUGAAAACCAUUACUAAUGAUAAUGUGUAUGAAAUCCUAAGAAACAUUCAUCCUAGUCCUCCUGCUGAUACAUGCAUAUCGGGCUGCUCGGAAUACGGGAAUGUUGCAACUUUGAAAACCAUGACCAACACCAAUUGACCCUGACACAAGAGAUCCCCAACUACUGUUGUCAUGCUACUUGACCUUCAUCUUACCUUUUAUCGCUGUUGAAACUGAGCUUUGCAUGUUAAACAGGCAGCUUUGAACUUUACACACAGGUAGAAGAACUGCUCAAGCUUUGUGCCUGAACAGGGACCAAAAUGUCAAAUCAAAGACUAGGGAUGACUGUCUUUGUCCUGGAUAUUGGCCACCCUGGAAAGUUUACAUCCAACACACUUGGCUUUAACUGAAGUUUGGGGGGAGGAGCAUGGCUGAAACCCCUCCUUCUUCCAAUCUAAUGCCCAAUAAAUUUACAUUCUCACCUUCCAUUCCUGUGAUGAAGUGCUUGCAAUCCCAAUCUCCUCCCUGUUCCUCAGUUCAGCAUCAGUCCUACUACACCUAUGAGGGGGAUCUGGCCUUCUAGCUACAGACAGAUGCUGCCCAGACCUCCAGCCUAAGUUCUCAGUCCCCCUCCCCCCUUCCAUCAAUCUUCUCUCAUACCACUACAUGCUGAAGACAUGGUCUGAGCUCACAAAUGUUCAGACGAUCCUGAAGGACCUCAUUACCUGGAGCAGGCAUGCUAGACUAGAGCUGAAGCUCAACUCAGCAGUGUGGUAGAUUCAGAGAGGACCAGACCCGAGUUUCCCAGGUUUACAUGUUAUUGAAGCUGACGUAUGAGAACAUAAACAGGUGAAUGCUGUCUAGUGGAAAGUAGCUUCCUAACACAUCUAUACUGAAAUAUUCCAUUGAAUAUGAAACCAACUACAACUGGAGCCUGUGCCAUCAUAUUCCUGUGUGUAACUUCUCUU
Molecule: long non-coding RNA, 1349 nt
Organism: Pygocentrus nattereri (red-bellied piranha)
Lineage: Eukaryota; Metazoa; Chordata; Actinopteri; Characiformes; Serrasalmidae
Exons: 6
Source: RefSeq, a predicted model, not a curated record